This 554-nucleotide ribosomal RNA is filed under the name uncultured Alphaproteobacteria bacterium. RNAcentral's name for it is "bacterial SSU rRNA". It matches the Rfam family "Bacterial small subunit ribosomal RNA", at positions 57 to 658 of the family's 1533-position model. The record is from RNAcentral. Lineage: Bacteria; Pseudomonadati; Pseudomonadota; Alphaproteobacteria.
GCAGUCGAGCGGGGUAGCAAUACCUAGCGGCAGACGGGUGCGUAACAUGUGGGAAUCUGCCUUUUGGUUCGGAACAACAUGGGGAAACCUGUGCUAAUACCGGAUAAGUCCUAACGGAGAAAGUUUUAAUGCCAAAAGAUGAGCCCGCAUUUGAUUAGCUUGUUGGUGAGGUAAAAGCUCACCAAGGCUAUAAUCAAUAGCUGAUUUGAGAGGAUGAUCAGCCACACUGGGACUGAGAUACGGCCCAGACUCCUACGGGAGGCAGCAGUGGGGAAUCUUGCACAAUGGGCGAAAGCCUGAUGCAGCGAUGCCGCGUGAGUGAAGAAGGCCUUUGGGUUGUAAAGCUCUUUUGUCGGGAAAGAUAAUGACUGUACCCGAAGAAUAAGGUCCGGCUAACUUCGUGCCAGCAGCCGCGGUAAUACGAAGGGACCUAGCGUAGUUCGGAAUUACUGGGCGUAAAGAGUAUGUAGGCGGCUAGAUAAGUUAAUUGUGAAAGCCCAAAGCUUAACUUUGGAACUGCAAUUAAAACUAUUUAGCUGGAGUAUGAUAGAGGA